AGUGGGGAGAACGUGAAAUGCUCCGGCGCCAGAGGAUGUGGCUGCGGCCGAUUAGGUAGACGGUGGGGUAACGGCCCACCGUGCCAGUAAUCGGUACGGGUUGUGAGAGCAAGAGCCCGGAGACGGUAUCUGAGACAAGAUACCGGGCCCUACGGGGCGCAGCAGGCGCGAAACCUUUACACUGCACGCCAGUGCGAUAAGGGGACUCCAUCUGCGAGGGCAUAUCGUCCUCGCUUUUCUGUACCGUAAGGUGGUACAGGAAUAAGGGCUGGGCAAGACCGGUGCCAGCCGCCGCGGUAAUACCGGCAGCCCGAGUGAUGACCGCUAUUAUUGGGCCUAAAGCGUCCGUAGCUGGCCAGGCAAGUCCAUCGGGAAAUCCGCGUGCCCAACGCGCGGGCGUCCGGUGGAACCUGCUUGGCUUGGGACCGGAAGACCUGAGGGGUACGUCUGGGGUAGGAGUGAAAUCCCGUAAUCCUGGACGGACCACCGGUGGCGAAAGCGCCUCAGGAAGACGGAUCCGACGGUGAGGGACGAAAGCUCGGGUCACGAACCGGAUUAGAUACCCGGGUAGUCCGAGCUGUAAACGAUGUCUGCUAGGUGUGACACAGGCUACGAGCCUGUGUUGUGCCGUAGGGAAGCCGUGAAGCAGACCGCCUGGGAAGUACGUCCGCAAGGAUGAAACUUAAAGGAAUUGGCGGGGGAGCACUACAACCGGAGGAGCCUGCGGUUUAAUUGGACUCAACGCCGGACAUCUCACCAGCAUCGACAGCAGGAGUGACGAUCAGGUUGAUGACCUUAUCAGACCUGCUGAGAGGAGGUGCAUGGCCGCCGUCAGCUCGUACCGUGAGGCGUCCUGUUAAGUCAGGCAACGAGCGAGACCCGCACUCCUAAUUGCCAGCAACACCCUUGUGGUGGUUGGGUACAUUAGGAGGACUGCCAGUGCCAAACUGGAGGAAGGAACGGGCAACGGUAGGUCAGUAUGCCCCGAAUGUGCUGGGCGACACGCGGGCUACAAUGGCCGAGACAGUGGGAUGCAACGCCGAAAGGCGACGCUAAUCUCCGAAACUCGGUCGUAGUUCGGAUUGCGGAUUGAAACUCAUCCGCAUGAAGCUGGAUUCGGUAGUAAUCGCGCCUCAGAAGGGCGCGGUGAAUACGUCCCUGCUCCUUG
Molecule: ribosomal RNA, 1168 nt
Filed under: Halopiger aswanensis
Lineage: Archaea; Methanobacteriati; Methanobacteriota; Halobacteria; Halobacteriales; Natrialbaceae
Description: bacterial SSU rRNA
Rfam family: Archaeal small subunit ribosomal RNA
Source: RNAcentral